GACCCCAGGUCAGGCGGGGCCACCCGCUGAGUUUAGCAUAUCAUAAGGAGGAUGUAUCAGAACCGAGCGGAUGACUGUUGACCUCGUAACCCGCCCGAAGGAGCUGAGGGAGGGGCGACUACGCGCUGCCCACUCUUUGGACUCUAUGGGACCGUCUGGUCG
RNAcentral lists this ribosomal RNA (162 nucleotides) under Asparagus racemosus. RNAcentral's name for it is "partial 28S ribosomal RNA". The record is from RNAcentral. Lineage: Eukaryota; Viridiplantae; Streptophyta; Magnoliopsida; Asparagales; Asparagaceae.